Vigna angularis (adzuki bean) is the source of this 1200-nucleotide RNA transcript. It is a transcript of the gene named sm-like protein LSM1B, with no coding region annotated. The transcript has 6 exons. The record is from RefSeq and is a predicted model, not a curated record. Lineage: Eukaryota; Viridiplantae; Streptophyta; Magnoliopsida; Fabales; Fabaceae.
AUAGAGUAUUGUAUCAUUGAUUGAACCGCGCGUUGAACGAAACCCGAUGGCACAGAAGCACCACCUUCUUCUGGAUCUAUCCCAAAUCCCACUCUCCAAACCCUAGAAAAUUGAACUCUUCCCCUUUCCUUUCUCUCACGAUUCCUAUCAAAGAUUCUUCCUUUUCACUCUUGCCCGGCGAUUUGAUUUCUGGGCUUUCUUCGUUUCCGCAAUUUCGAUCUUAAACCCGAGGCUGUGGAAUUCGGAAUUCAGAUUGAAGUUAGUGGGGUUGAAGUAGGAUAGUUGCGUUGGCGCUGGCAAUGCCAUUGGUGUGGUCAGUGAAGAAAUUUUCGGUGAUUUUUGUGAUACCGAAAAUACAGUAUGUCUUGGGCAGGCCCUGAGGAUAUUUACCUUUCCACUUCACUUGCCAGCUAUCUUGACAAGAAACUUCUUGUAUUGCUGAGAGAUGGUAGAAAGCUCAUGGGAACACUUCGCUCUUUUGAUCAAUUUGCCAAUGCAGUUCUUGAGGGUGCCUGUGAGAGGGUUAUUGUUGGCGAUCUGUACUGUGACAUCCCUUUGGGUCUCUAUGUGAUCCGCGGGGAAAAUGUUGUUCUAAUUGGUGAGCUGGACUUGGAGAAGGAGGAACUUCCUGAACACAUGACUCGUGUUUCUACAGCAGAAAUCAAGAGGAAACGCAAAUGUCUCACAAUGAUGUUGUGGAGUCUGUCACCAAGGCAAUCACGUUGCCUUAUGUGAUGCAGGUUUGACCUGCAUCCUAGUCAAGGGUGUUCUCAUGAGUUGCAAACACUGAAUCCAGCUAGUGGUUGAGGGGAUAUAGGGCAGUGUGUGGCCUUAUUCGGGUUCAAGAACAAAGAAACGAUAAGGAAAGAAACGGGUCAGGUGUGGGCUUAUUCAGGGCACAGAAAGCAGAAAGGGAGGCCUCCGAUCUGAAAGGGACUAUGAGGAAAAGAAUGGAAUUCCUUGACUUUGAAUAGUGAACCCUGAUUCAUCCUUCACCUUCCCCAUCCGCAAAUAUUAUAGCGGCUGUUCUUCAUAUAUUUUGCUUUCUUUUUCUCUGCUAUUGUUGCCUUUCAUGGGAGGGUUCAAUACUCUUGAAUUUUGUUCUGUAAUAUUAGCUUCAGGAAUCAUUACUAUCAUUCAUUUGCUUUCAAAAAAUUCUCAAUUAAUACGGCUCCUCUAAUGAGAGGAUGCAUAUUAAAA